RNAcentral lists this ribosomal RNA (1452 nucleotides) under uncultured Bordetella sp. RNAcentral's name for it is "partial 16S-23S ribosomal RNA intergenic spacer". It matches the Rfam family "Bacterial small subunit ribosomal RNA". The record is from RNAcentral. Lineage: Bacteria; Pseudomonadati; Pseudomonadota; Betaproteobacteria; Burkholderiales; Alcaligenaceae.
GGUUCGAUCAUGGCUCAGAUUGAACGCUGGCGGGAUGCUUUACACAUGCAAGUCGAACGGCAGCACGGACUUCGGUCUGGUGGCGAGGCGAACGGGUGAGUAAUGUAUCGGAACGUGCCUAGUAGCGGGCGAUAACUACGCGAAAGGUAGCUAAUACUGCAUACGCUCCUUCGGGGAAAGUGGGGGACCUCGCUCCCGCACUAUUAGAGCGGCCGAUAUCGGAUUAGCUAGUUGGUGGGGUAACGGCUCACUAAGGCGACGAUCCGUAGCUGGUUUGAGAGACCACCAGCCACACUGGGACUGAGACACGCCCAGACUCCUACGGGAGGCAGCAGUGGGGAAUUUUGGACAAUGGGGGAAACCCUGAUCCAGCCAUCCCGCGUGUGCGAUGAAGGCCUUUCGGGUUGUAAAAGCACUUCGGCAGGAAAGAAACGGUGGCACGGGAUAAUACCCCGUGCAACUGAUUACACCUGCAGAAUAAGCACCGGCUAACUACGUGCCAGGCAGCCGUAAUACGUAGGGUGUUAAUCGGAAUUACUGGGUGCAAGCGUGCGCAGGCGGUUCGGAAAGAAAGAUGUGAAAUCCCAGAGCUUAACUUUGGAACCGCAUUUUUAAUUACCGAGCUAGAGUGUGUCAGGAGGGAGGUGGAAUCUUCAUGUAGUAGUGAAAUGCGUAGAUAUGCGGAGGAACACCGAUGGCAAGGCAGCCUCCUGGGAUAAAUACUGAUGCUUCGCGCACGAAAGCGUGGGGAGCAACAGAGAUGAUACUCCUGGUAGUCCAGCGCCUCAAAACGAUGUCAACUAGCUGUUGUGCCUUCGGGCCUUGGUAGCGCAGCUAACGCGUGAAGUUGACCGCCUGGGGAGUACGGUCGCAAGAUUAAACCAAAGGAAUUGACGGGACCUGCAAUGUUGCGGAUGACAGACUAUCCGAUGUAACGAAAACCUUACCUACCCUUGACAUGUCCUGGAAUCCCGAAGAGAUUUAAGAGUGCUCGCAAGAGAACCGGAAGACAGGUGUCAUGGCUGUCGUCAGCUCGUGUCGUGAGAUGUUGGGUUAAGUCCCCAACGAGCGCAACCUUGCCAAUAGUUGCUACGAAAGGGCACUCUAAUGAGACUGCCGGUGACAAACCGGAGGAAGGUGGGGAUGACGUCAAGUCCUCAUGGCCCUUAUGGGUAGGGCCACACGUCAUACAAAUGGCCGAUAGAGGGUCGCCAACCUGCGAGGGGAGCCAAUCCCAGAAACCCGACUGGAUCGCAGUCUGCAACUCGAUCGCGUGAAGCCUGGAAUCGCUAGUAAUCGGUGUGAUCAGCAUGUCAGUGAAUACGUUCCCGGUCUUUACACCGCCCGUCACACCAUGGGAGUGGGGUUUUACCAGAAGUAGUUAGCCUAACCGUAAGGAGGCGACUACCACUUGGUAGGAUUCAUGACUGGGGUGAAGUCGUAAUGAAGUAG